CCUACGGGGGGCUGCAGUCGAGAAUUUUUCACAAUGGGCGAAAGCCUGAUGGAGCGACGCCGCGUGGGGGAUGAAUGGCUUCGGCCCGUAAACCCCUGUCAUUUGCGAGCAAUGCUCCACGUUGAACAGACGUGGAGUUGAUAGUAGCGAAAGAGGAAGGGACGGCUAACUCUGUGCCAGCAGCCGCGGUAAUACAGAGGUCCCAAGCGUUGUUCGGAUUCACUGGGCGUAAAGGGUGCGUAGGCGGUGGGGUAAGUUUGAUGUGAAAUCCCCGGGCUCAACUCGGGAACGGCAUUGAAUACUAUCCUGCUUGAGGAUCGGAGGGGAGACUGGAAUUCUCGGUGUAGCAGUGAAAUGCGUAGAUAUCGAGAGGAACACCAGUGGCGAAGGCGAGUCUCUGGACGAUUCCUGACGCUGAGGCACGAAAGCUAGGGGAGCAAACAGGCUUAGAUACCCUGGUAGUC
Molecule: ribosomal RNA, 464 nt
Filed under: uncultured Verrucomicrobiota bacterium
Lineage: Bacteria; Pseudomonadati; Verrucomicrobiota
Description: bacterial SSU rRNA
Rfam family: Bacterial small subunit ribosomal RNA
Source: RNAcentral